RNAcentral lists this small nuclear RNA (110 nucleotides) under Schistosoma mattheei. Lineage: Eukaryota; Metazoa; Platyhelminthes; Trematoda; Strigeidida; Schistosomatidae. The record is from RNAcentral.
GGACUCCAGGCGGUACAUAUACUAAAAUUGGAACGAUACAGAGAAGAUUAGCAUGGCCCCUGCGCAAGGAUGACACGCAAAAAACGUAAAACGACCUUGUACACAUCUGU